This is a non-coding RNA of Coturnix japonica (Japanese quail), 74 nucleotides long. Lineage: Eukaryota; Metazoa; Chordata; Aves; Galliformes; Phasianidae. The record is from RefSeq and is a predicted model, not a curated record.
CUGCAGAGAUGAUUACCCUGAACUCUCUCUUUCUGACCCAUAUGGAGAAACCCCUUUACAACCUUCUGAGCAGC